GACGAACGCUGGCGGCGUGCCUAAUACAUGCAAGUAGAACGCACAGUUUAUACCGUAGCUUGCUACACCAUAGACUGUGAGUUGCGAACGGGUGAGUAACGCGUAGGUAACCUGCCUGGUAGCGGGGGAUAACUAUUGGAAACGAUAGCUAAUACCGCAUAAUAUUGAUUAUUGCAUGAUAAUUAAUUGAAAGGUGCAAUUGCACCACUACCAGAUGGACCUGCGUUGUAUUAGCUAGUAGGUGAGGUAACGGCUCACCUAGGCGACGAUACAUAGCCGACCUGAGGGGGUGAUCGGCCACACUGGGACUGAGACACGGCCCAGACUCCUACGGGAGGCAGUAGUAGGGAAUCUUCGGCAAUGGACGAAAGUCUGACCGAGCAACGCCGCGUGAGUGAAGAAGGUUUUCGGAUCGUAAAGCUCUGUUGUAAGAGAAGAACGGGUGUGAGAGUGGAAAGUUCACACUGUGACGGUAUCUUACCAGAAAGGGACGGCUAACUACGUG
Molecule: ribosomal RNA, 505 nt
Filed under: uncultured bacterium
Lineage: Bacteria
Description: partial 16S ribosomal RNA
Rfam family: Bacterial small subunit ribosomal RNA
Source: RNAcentral